Molecule: non-coding RNA, 489 nt
Organism: Coturnix japonica (Japanese quail)
Lineage: Eukaryota; Metazoa; Chordata; Aves; Galliformes; Phasianidae
Source: RefSeq, a predicted model, not a curated record
CACAGCUGCUGUUGCACAUGAAGUUGUACAGGAUAGUGGUGAACUCGGUCCCCACCUGCCCAGGAGAGGGGAGCAGACACUGAGCAAAGAACAGGCAUGGCCCGGAUGAUGGUGCCUGGUGGCGGCGGGCUGGACACCUUGAUCUGGAUGGGACAUGUCUUGGCAAUCUGACAGUAAAGCUUCUUCAGCAGCGGGGAGUACUGGAACAGAAGACAGACCUGUGUUAGCACAACUCACAAGCAGCAAAUAGAACCAUGGACAAGCAGCUCAACAUGCACCGUGGGCAGCAAGGAGCCCAGGCUGCCUGCAGCCCUGUGCCUGAGGGAUGCUGUGUGCACGUGGAGGGCUGAGCACUGUGGCUCUUGCACAGGCGCCUGCUUUCCCGCAGCUCCUCUGAUCCACCCACCUCCUGCCUCCUGAAUGCUCCCAGCGAGAUGCCAACAUGGCAGCAAAGCAGCAUAUUAAAAUAAUGACUCGUUAUAAAACCAA